This 253-nucleotide ribosomal RNA is filed under the name uncultured bacterium. Its description in RNAcentral is "partial 16S ribosomal RNA". It matches the Rfam family "Bacterial small subunit ribosomal RNA", at positions 524 to 776 of the family's 1533-position model. The record is from RNAcentral.
UCCGGAGGGUGCAAGCGUUAAUCGGACUUACUGGGCGUAAAGCGCGCGUAGGCGGCUAGAUAAGUCGGAUGUGACAGCCCCGGGCUCAACCUGGGAACUGCAUUCGAUACUGUUUGGCUAGAGUAUGAGAGAGGGAGGUAGAAUUCCACGUGUAGCGGUGAAAUGCGUAGAUAUGUGGAGGAAUACCGGUGGCGAAGGCGGCCUCCGGGCUUAAUACUGACGCUGAGGUGCGAAAGCGUGGGGAGCAAACAGG